GGAUGCACAUAGGUGCAUUGAGUCGAUGAAUGGACGCUGGUAAGUGAUUGCUUGAUUUUCAUCUGCAUCUAAAAACUUUUGUUAUCUCAUGCAAACUGCAUUGAAGAUUUUUACCGAAACUUAUUAGUUCCUCUCCUCCAUUAUGUAUGACACUGUUUCCUUUUUAGUUUGUUCUUGAAAGAACGACCUUUCUAUUUUUGGGAACCCUUUAAUGUCAUGCUCUCACGGCCACAAAAAUCCAUGGCAUGUUUAAGGCCACAAGUUCCAAUUGUACUUUUGGUGUGUAGCAAAAAUCUUAUCUUUCUUUCUUAUAAUUCAUGCCUAGUCAAACACAAUAUAAAUUAGAACGGAUGGAGUAUAUAUAAACAAGCAUUAGUGUAUCUCGUGAAGUUGCUUUUCUAGAUCGACAGCAGAGUAAUCAGAACCUGCGUAUUGUUCUUGUUUUUUGUUUAUGUGAUUUGACUCAUAUUCGUUUGUUGCAACAGGUUUGCUGGUAGGCAAAUCCAUGCUAGUGAGGAUGAUGGAUCUGUUAACCAUGCUUUAGUCCGAGAUAUAGAUGAAGAAACUGAUAGAUUGGAGAAGUUUGGAGCUGAACUUGAAGCUGAUUCAUAGAUGUGGAAAUAGUAGCAACACUUAUUUUUGCUUGCUAUACAUCCCAUAUGUCUAUGCAACUCUUUGAAUACGAAUCCGUUUUCUGAAAGAUUCUGACUGCCAUACUUUGGUGAGAACUCCAAUGUCUUGCAAAAAGUGGUGAUGGGCGCUGACCUCGUGGCAUGCCAACUAGAUUUGUCAUCGCAAGUAAUGGGUCAUCUCCUAGUUUUCUUUGGAGUACAUGUAACAUGAUCAAUUGAAUGAGAAAAUAGUCUUUUCUUGGUGAAGUGGAGUAGAACUUUCUCUAGCACUUUAACUUUCGGAACGUGACAUGCUUUGUAAGUAUCGUAGCUACAAAAAUUUGUUCGAUGAUCACUUGUUUUCACUUUCUUUUGUUGUUAUGUUCCGUUCCUUUGACCUUGCACGAUAGGAGUAAGUUCUGUAUACAUCUUUGCGUACAUCUGUUCAAACUUUAUUUUGUUGGAUUAUCGUGGAUAUGUUGUUUGUCAUUUUAUGUAGACUUGUAUGGUAUACUUUCUAAGGAAUGUACUUUUAUUUUUAAAAAUGUUAAA
This 1163-nucleotide long non-coding RNA is filed under the name Solanum tuberosum (potato). RNAcentral describes it as "long non-coding RNA (STUB_LNC010416)". Lineage: Eukaryota; Viridiplantae; Streptophyta; Magnoliopsida; Solanales; Solanaceae. The record is from RNAcentral.